RNAcentral lists this ribosomal RNA (253 nucleotides) under uncultured bacterium. RNAcentral's name for it is "partial 16S ribosomal RNA". It matches the Rfam family "Bacterial small subunit ribosomal RNA", at positions 524 to 776 of the family's 1533-position model. The record is from RNAcentral.
UACGUAGGGUGCGAGCGUUGUCCGGAAUUAUUGGGCGUAAAGGGCUCGUAGGCGGUCUGUCGCGUCGAAAGUGAAAACUCAGGGCUUAACCCUGAGCCUGCUUCCGAUACGGGCAGACUAGAGGUAUGCAGGGGAGAACGGAAUUCCUGGUGUAGCGGUGAAAUGCGCAGAUAUCAGGAAGAACACCCGUGGCGAAGGCGGCUCUCUGGUACGUGACUGACGCUGAGACGCGAAAGCGUGGGGAGCGAACAGG